RNAcentral lists this ribosomal RNA (461 nucleotides) under uncultured bacterium. Its description in RNAcentral is "partial 16S ribosomal RNA". It matches the Rfam family "Bacterial small subunit ribosomal RNA", at positions 338 to 795 of the family's 1533-position model. The record is from RNAcentral.
CCUACGGGAGGCAGCAGUGAGGAAUAUUGGUCAAUGGGCGAGAGCCUGAACCAGCCAAGUCGCGUGAGGGAAGACGGUCCUACGGAUUGUAAACCUCUUUUGUCAGGGAGCAAGGAGCGCCACGAGUGGUGCGGCGAGAGUACCUGAAGAAAAAGCAUCGGCUAACUCCGUGCCAGCAGCCGCGGUAAUACGGAGGAUGCGAGCGUUGUCCGGAUUUAUUGGGUUUAAAGGGUGCGCAGGCGGAAGCGGCAAGUCAGCGGUGAAAUUGCGGGGCUCAACUUCUGUACGGCACUGGAUACUUGCGAGCUAGAGUGCGGUAGAGGUAAAGGGAAUUCCUGGUGUAGCGGUGAAAUGCUUAGAUAUCAGGAGGAACGUCGGUGGCGUAAGCGCUUUACUGGGCCGUAAUUGACGCUGAGAAACGAAAGCCAGGGUAGCAAAUGGGAUUAGAUACCCCGGUAGUC